ACUAAACUCAAUCCAGAUGGCAGCAAGUGCGUCAGUGUAAAAUAAAAAAAAAACGAAAAUUGCGACUUUUAACACAACAAUUACCAGUUUUAGAUUUUUCAAAUAACGACAGGUGAAUUUUGAAUUGUCGAUUAUAAACAAUGAAGCUGGCAACAAAAAAUAAGAUAUUUGAUAAAUUACACCAUGCAUUUGUUUAUGGUUGCAUAGGACUUACAUUUGUUACCGCAGUAGCAAUUACUCAGUUGGGUUAUGAUUAUUUCGUCAAUGUAAAGCCGGUUAAAAAAGUUGAGAAAUUAAAAGCAGAACGAGAAUUACUAAAAGAAGGUUCUGCGUUUAUUCCUGAUGUUUAAGCGAAUAAUUCUUAGUCAUAUUUUUAUAUAACAAUUAAUUUAAAUAUUACCUAAAAAAAAAUUAAUUAUACCAACAGCUGACAAUUUAUUUUUGAAUAAACAAAUUAAAUCUCGGAAAAAAUGCGUACAAAAUUCAAAAAUCUACCGCGCGCUUUUUAAAUUUAUUUAAAAAAUAAAAAUUGUCAGCUUGUAAAUUUUUAUGUUGUACAAAUAAAACUGGAAUAAUAAAAAAUGGAGGUAAAUAAUGUG
This is a long non-coding RNA of Microplitis demolitor, 599 nucleotides long. RefSeq lists it as uncharacterized. The transcript is spliced from 3 exons. Lineage: Eukaryota; Metazoa; Arthropoda; Insecta; Hymenoptera; Braconidae. The record is from RefSeq and is a predicted model, not a curated record.